Non-coding RNA from Xenopus laevis (African clawed frog), 545 nucleotides. NCBI's taxonomy places the organism in Eukaryota, Metazoa, Chordata, Amphibia, Anura, Pipidae. The record is from the annotation of a RefSeq genome assembly.
GCCUGCUUUCUUUGCUUAUACUUAAUGUAUGUAAAUUAUCAUGGAACUUCCUGUUAAAUACUAUGAGUAGAAAUAGUCACCUCACUGUUGCAGCAGGAGAAACAGAGACCAUGAUAAUUAUGAAGAAUCUCCUGUAUUUAAUAUCUGUGUUGUCUUUGUUUCAGUGUGUGACAUGUCAGAUCUCCCUGACACAGCCUGGUGCUGUCACUGUGAAGCCAUCAGAGGUUCUUCAGUUGACCUGUAAAGUGACCGGAGCCUCCCUCACUGACAGCUCUAAAGUAUAUGCAGUUGACUGGGUCCGUCAGCUUGUGGGGAAAGGGCUGGAAUGGCUGGGAGGGAUAGCGUAUAAUGCUGACACAGCUUAUGCCCAGUCUUUGCAGGGACGCAUCACAGUAUCAAGAGACACAAAUAAAGGAGAAGUUUAUUUAAAACUCACUGGAAUGAAACCAGAGGAAACUGCUGUAUAUUACUGUGCUAGUUAUCCACAGUGGGAAAUAUAUUAUGAAAACAUGUAUAAAAACAUGUCCUGAUAGCUGAGUCAUUAU